RNAcentral lists this ribosomal RNA (396 nucleotides) under uncultured bacterium. Its description in RNAcentral is "partial 16S ribosomal RNA". It matches the Rfam family "Bacterial small subunit ribosomal RNA", at positions 523 to 918 of the family's 1533-position model. The record is from RNAcentral.
AUACGUAGGUGGCAAGCGUUAUCCGGAUUUACUGGGUGUAAAGGGCGCGUAGGCGGGGGUGCAAGUCAGAUGUGAAAUCUAUGGGCUUAACUCAUAAACUGCAUUUGAAACUGUAUCUCUUGAGUGCUGGAGAGGUAGACGGAAUUCCUUGUGUAGCGGUGAAAUGCGUAGAUAUAAGGAAGAACACCAGUGGGGAAGGCGGUCUACUGGACAGUAACUGACGCUGAGGCGCGAAAGCGUGGGGAGCAAACAGGAUUGGAUACCCUGGUAGUCCACGCUGUAAACGAUGAAUACUAGGUGUGGGGGGACUGACCCCCUCCGUGCCGCAGUUAACACAAUAAGUAUUCCACCUGGGGAGUACGGCCGCAAGGUUGAAACUCAAAGGAAUUGACGGGG